Vicia faba (fava bean) is the source of this 426-nucleotide non-coding RNA. NCBI's taxonomy places the organism in Eukaryota, Viridiplantae, Streptophyta, Magnoliopsida, Fabales, Fabaceae. The record is from the annotation of a GenBank genome assembly.
GUAAUUUUCAUCGUUCGACAGGGUAGAUUAUCUCUCAUUAAAGCGCAAUUUUGUUUUCUAUCCGUUAAAGCGAAGCAUCGCCGGUGUCUACUAUUUAAAUCUUCAAACCCAAAUCUCACAAACUUUCAUUCCCACAAUACCCUUCAUCUCUUCACUUUAAUUAUUCACUGCACUGCUCAUUUACCUCAGGGCCCACAGCGUCAUUUCACCACCAUUACUUCUACAAUAAUCUACCACCAUUCAUUCCACACGACACCGUUUACCACUCAUCGCCACCGUCGCGACCUCGAUACCUUCGCCUCCUUCACGAAAAAUUCAUUUCCAUUUUUACCCCUCCCAAUCCCUCCAAAUUCCAAUUCUCACCAACCGUUGUUUAAUUUCAAUCUAGAAUCUUCGAUUUUCGAUCGCAUUGAAAUGGAGCCCUAG